Pogoniulus pusillus (Red-fronted tinkerbird) is the source of this 180-nucleotide long non-coding RNA. RefSeq lists it as uncharacterized. The transcript is spliced from 3 exons. The record is from RefSeq and is a predicted model, not a curated record. NCBI's taxonomy places the organism in Eukaryota, Metazoa, Chordata, Aves, Piciformes, Lybiidae.
AUCAGUGCUGUGCUUAAAUGGCUUCACUGCAGCUGGGUACCAAGCAAUCUGGGCUGCGUGGUAUGGUGCAGUCUAUGCAGAUGGGAUCCUCUGUGCUGAGCUGUUGGAACCAGCAGAUGGUGUCAGAGGAACACAUACAGGGAAGGUUUGCAUGGCUGGUUUUGAAGAGAAAAGAGAGAA